Molecule: ribosomal RNA, 253 nt
Filed under: uncultured bacterium
Lineage: Bacteria
Description: partial 16S ribosomal RNA
Rfam family: Bacterial small subunit ribosomal RNA
Source: RNAcentral
UACGGAGGGUGCAAACGUUGCUCGGAAUCAUUGGGCGUAAAGCGCACGUAGGCGGAUCGCUAAGUCGGAUGUGAAAGCCCUCGGCUUAACCGAGGAAGUGCAUUCGAAACUGACGGUCUUGAGUAUGGAAGAGGGUCGCGGAAUUCCCGGUGUAGAGGUGAAAUUCGUAGAUAUCGGGAGGAACACCAGUGGCGAAGGCGGCGACCUGGGCCAAUACUGACGCUGAGGAGCGAAAGCGUGGGGAGCAAACAGG